UUCUUUAUUUUUUUUUUUAACAGUAUCUUGCUCUGUUGCCCAGGCUGGUGCAGUGGCGUGAUCACUGCUCAGUGCAGCCUCGCCUUCUUGGGCUCCAGCUAUCCUCCCGCCUCAGCCUGUGGAGCAGCUGGGACCACAGGUGCGCGACACCACACCCGACUAAUUUUUUGUAGUUUUUGUAGGGUCUCGUUUUGUUGCCUAGGCUGUUCUCGAACUCCUGAGCUCAAGCAGUCCGUCCGCCUGGGCGGACUAAUAUCACAAAGCGCUAGAAUCACAGGCAUGAGCCACCGUGCUGGGAGGGAAGUCUGUAUUGUUGCUGCGUUCAACCCAGUGCAUAGUGCAUGAGAAGAGGAGGCAGUUUAGGGGCCCAGAACCAAGCGGAUGGGGCUGGUUGCAGGAACAAAGUAAAAACCAUUCUGAUUGCCAACAGCUGCCUACGCAGGAAACACCCUUCCAACCUCCGUGGCGGGGCUCUCCCAGGCCACCCCUCGGUCCCAGAGUCUCCUCCCCGUCCAGAGCUCUCAGGAUCCUACAGAAGGGGCGGACAACUCUUCCCUUCCAAACUGGAAAGUCGGCCUAGGUUUCCGAGGAUAAUGAAAGGCACAGCGUUUUUUGACCUCGACUUCAGGCCUGACCCCCCACUCUCUCGGUCCCGUACCUCUUCUGCGGGAUGUAACUCUGUGGGAACCGCUCCUUUAUUCUGAUGAUUAACUGUCUGAUAUCCUUGAUAUUUGGGGAUAGUAGAUGAAAGAGAGCAGGAGAGAAAAAUGGACGGCAAGACUCCAGCUCAGAAGGUGGGAAUGAUGGCAAAAGUCCGCUACCUCUCCAAGCCCAAUAAACAUCUCAAACUGCUCUACACUUUUCUGUACCCUUGAUCUGUGAAAUGGAUCACUGACGUUUUCUGUCUUUCGGGAAAUGCAAAGCAGGCGAAUUUUCAAGCGCUUGAAUUCCCUCUUUUUCCUACUUUUCAGUCAGAGUGGAGCUAAAAACUCCUUCCCCAUAGGAAAUAUGGAACUGCCUCUGCCCGGAAGAAAAACGUCCCUUUUCCCUAAGCUUUCACAUUUCCCGAAAAAUCUACACAUCCGCAUGAAAUCCUCACAAGAGACCUACAGACCCUACCGGGAGCGUUCCUGUCACUACAAAAAAUUU
Molecule: long non-coding RNA, 1149 nt
Filed under: Homo sapiens (human)
Lineage: Eukaryota; Metazoa; Chordata; Mammalia; Primates; Hominidae
Description: LHRI_LNC1034.1
Source: RNAcentral